Molecule: long non-coding RNA, 641 nt
Filed under: Ananas comosus (pineapple)
Lineage: Eukaryota; Viridiplantae; Streptophyta; Magnoliopsida; Poales; Bromeliaceae
Description: long non-coding RNA (ACOM_LNC023580)
Source: RNAcentral
UAUAUAUAGUGUGAGGCUACUAUGCUAUCGGAAGCACGGAGCCUUCCGUGCUUUCAGCUCGUUUUCGAUGUUGUGACUUUCAAAUCGUCGAUCGGCUCCGUUAAAUUUGAUCUAGAGUAUUUGAAGUACCUAGAAAAUAAAUUUUACGAUUUUUUGAUAUCAUUUGCCUAGUGAUCGAAGGGGCUCAAAAUCAAUAAUUUUAAUGGUCACAGUGAGCUGUUUGCAAGUUUAACGGUGUAGAAAUAUCCAAAUCACGUGAAAUUUUGAUAGAAAAUUCUUUAUGCUAUAUAAAACAAGAUCAAUAUAUUUGAUCUAAAAUUUUAACGUCAUAUUAUCACGUUUUGUAAGAUUUUUAUUUUCAGCCGUUGAUUUUGAGCCCCUUCGUUCACUAGGCAAAUAAUAUCAAAAAAUUGCAUAAUUUAUUUUCUAAAUACUUCAAAUACUCUAGAUCAAGUUUAACAGAGCCGAUCGACGAUUCAAAAACCGCAACAUCGAAAACGAGCUGGAAGCACGGAGGGCUCCGUGCUUCCGAUAGCAUAGUAGCCUCACUCUAUAUAUAUAUAUAUAUAUUCCCCCACCCCCCAACCCCUCCUAAAACCCUCAUUUAAUACACAACCCCCCUCAGCUAGCAUGAUCACCUC